AAACACUCUCCCUCUGCCUUUGUAAUUUUAACCUAGAAUGUCGGUGACGACAGUCUCUUGCAUGGAGACCACGAAUGCCGGAAUAAAUCUGACAUUAUGACACCAGACACCUGGCAGGUCUGACAUCGCAGGGGUAAAUACUUAGAGUUACUAUAAAGCCCCGGGGCCCCCUCAGGACUACAGUUGUUUACCCCUGAGCUCCGGACAGGAUCGUAGGGCCGGACAGAGGAAACAUUUAAGAUCCAAUACGCAGGAUUUUUACGUCACGCCGUUGGAAGCAAGCCUUCACGGUCUUUGCACAGUUACAUCCCAUUUGGGUACAGGAGCUGUCAAAGGCAAGGCGGUACUGAAACAAGCAAGAUCUUGAUUUAAGCAACAAACCUGUACUUGAACAGGUUACUCAUAUUCUACUCAUAUUCUGGAGCACCUGUUUCAAUUCAUCAAAAACUCAUGAGAGGGAGUUACUGGAGGAACAAAUAAUAAGAUUUAACCGAGGUAUUGGUGGACUUGCCAAUGUGGUCACUCCAGUGACCUUUCAGGAAUUGCAGCGUAAGAUUCUGAGCACAGGCACACAUACACAGAAGAAUGGCUGCAUUGGAAUUGCACUGUGGGCCGGAGCCUGGGAGUUGUGUGUGGGGUGGAAACAGAGCUGACCUGCUUGACAGUUUUGACUCCGAGAUGCAGGAAUGGGAAGAUCAGCUACAGGACAUGCAGAGGAAGAUUGAAGAGUUGUAUAAUGAGGUCAAAGCACGAAGAGAAGCCAGCGAGAGCAGCACAAACAACAUCACAAACAAUAAAAACCUGGACAUUACUUUGCUUCCUGUCAACUCUCAGUAUAGCCACCAGGCCAAUGGUUAUCACGAACCUCAUGGUCACCCCAACAACAGCCUCCCAAUUUGUCAAUGCAGUGAAAUAAAAGCAGAUCCUUCAGUUAUGCAAAGCCUUGGGUUUCACCACCCCAGUGAAUACUGUAAUGGCUCCAACAAUUGCAUGCUUAAUUCCCUGAGCAACGACAGCCAUUACCCUGCCAGUUGUCAUGCUUUUGAAAGGCAAGAUGCCACCGUAGACAUACUCAAUGGAUACCUCCAACAGGGUCCACAUUUUAGAAGGAACCCAGGGAAUCUUGGAGCUCCAAAUAGAAACCCCAAGGUAUAUCCAGUUACACACAGUUAUCAAGAUAGCAUGAAGACCAGCCUGGCGACAAACAGGACUGCCUCGUGUGUGGUUCUGGAUGAGAUUGAGGAGGCUGAGAACAAAAAGAACAAGAAAUCAAGUUGGGAUGACUCCCAAGCCCGCCACGUUAGCUGGAAAGACCCGGUUUCAUCAAAUGACCUUCCCCCUAAAAAUUCAGCUUCCAAACUGGCAAUCAGACAGAGAGAUUCUUCUCCUGUAACCCCUCGUUCCACUUACCAUGAGUCAUCACAGCAACCUGACAGGAAAUGCCUCUUUCUUGACAGGAAAUCUGGCAGCCCAUCAGUGUUGCGUAAGUUUGGUGCCAUGUUGCAGGAGAAUGAGGGAAAAACCCUGAUAGAGGAUGGUCUCGUGACCACCGUUGUCUCUGCUGAACCUCCGAGGCAAACCAGCACUCCCAUUUGCCAGAGCAAGUUUGAUGACAGGCGGGCAUCCUCACGCACGCACGUCCAGAAAUGCCGUGCAGACUGUGAUGUACUGGUAGCAGAUCUGGAGUUUUGGGCAGCUGGUCCUUCUAGACACCUCCUCAAUGGAGACAGAGGCAGUGGGAGGGGUGGUUGUGUUCUUGAACAGCGUGGCUUGGCCUGUAACUUAAGCCAGUCACAGCCUCACCUUAAUUCGGGGUAUCACAAGGUGGCUUCAAUGUCUAAAGCCCACAAAGCGGGCUUCCAGAGGGAGGACCUAUUCUCUGACUGCCAGAUGGUAGAAAGGAUUCUGGGAGUAGGAUCUCAAAACUUCAAUAAGGUACACAGAGGACUUGGUGUCAAAAUGAUGAGACGGGGAAAUGACAACUUGGAGCAACUUCUGGAAAUGAUGGAAAUAGAGAACAACAGAAGUCAGAGGGCCACAUUCACCCAGCAACUGGACAACAAGCAGGUCAACCGGGAGUCAUCUCCUGCACCUAGCAGUAGCCAUUUUUCUCGUCCUGCUCGACCAGCCAAUCAACGCCGUCCAUCCAGAUGGGUUAAGCAUACUCACCCAAGCAAAAUCGCCCACACAUCCGGCCCAACAAGCCCUGGCCUGAAUGCCAAACAAUUAUUGAAUUCAUAUUCCCGACACACAGAAACUGUCAUCAUGUGACCAGGAUACAACGAGCUUUAAAGGACACUUUCACCCAAUGGCAUAAACUAAACUUUGACCUUUUGUAGAACACGAUCUACUUUUUUGUAUAUAUAACCAACACCACCACAGGAAAGUACCUUAUUGCAGCCCACUAGAAUGCCCUGUGGUAUUUUCCUUAAAUAACUUCAAAAGGUUACUGCUUUCAUUUAACUCUGCGCUGUUUGAAGUGCUUUGGAAAGAAACUCCAGUGGACAUUCUCUAACCUGGUGAACUUCUGUGCCUAUGAACCCUUCAUUGCCUUUUCUCUUCAUUUCUUUCUGUCAUUCUCAUUAAAUUUUCUAUUCUUUUAUUCUGUUAUCUAUUUUCCAGAGUGCUUUGUGUACAGUGCAGUUCUUGCGGUGCCAUGUAGGACAUUUUUUGUAACCAUAUAUGCAUGUUUGCAACAGGCAUAACGUAUUUAAACAUACAUGGCAACGAGUUAUUGAGCCUUAUCUAUUAUGCAUAAACUGUAAAGGCGUGUGCAAACGUUUUGAUGUUCUGUCAUAAAGUCCAUUUCAGUAUUGGAUUAGUGCUUCAUAAUAUUGACAUGAUAACGGGCUCAUAAUGUUUUUUUUUCUUAUAAAGCCUUAUUUGACUGCACCUGACGUGGGCUGUAACUACUCGGUGUAUGGUAACAUGUCUGCAUUCUCCAGCCUUGUAAAAAAAAAAAAUAAGCCAAAUGAAGUGAAUUAUUCUUUAAGUUCAACAUCUGUGAAAAGUACAUUAUAUCUUUUGACAAUAAUAUAAUGAAGAAAUGCUUUUGGAAUGUUUAUUUAUUAUUGUGAUAUGUGACCCUUACAAAAAUG
Sinocyclocheilus anshuiensis is the source of this 3098-nucleotide long non-coding RNA. Ensembl lists it as uncharacterized. The record is from Ensembl. Lineage: Eukaryota; Metazoa; Chordata; Actinopteri; Cypriniformes; Cyprinidae.